RNAcentral lists this ribosomal RNA (254 nucleotides) under uncultured prokaryote. RNAcentral's name for it is "partial 16S ribosomal RNA". It matches the Rfam family "Bacterial small subunit ribosomal RNA", at positions 522 to 775 of the family's 1533-position model. The record is from RNAcentral.
AAGACGGAAGGUGCAAGCGUUGCUCGGAAUCACUGGGCGUAAAGGGUGCGUAGGCGGCCGCGCAAGUCUGGCGUGAAAGCCCCGGGCUCAGCCCGGGAAGGGCACUCGAAACGGCGCGGCUGGAGUGCCGGAGGGGAGAGUGAAAUUCCUGGUGUAGCGGUGAAAUGCGUAGAUAUCAGGAGGAAUACCGGUGGCGAAAGCGACUCUCUGGACGGCAACUGACGCUGAGGCACGAAAGCGUGGGGAGCAAACAG